Molecule: ribosomal RNA, 251 nt
Filed under: uncultured bacterium
Lineage: Bacteria
Description: partial 16S ribosomal RNA
Rfam family: Bacterial small subunit ribosomal RNA
Source: RNAcentral
UAGAAGAUGGCGACCGGCGCACGGGUGAGUAACACGUAUCCAACCUACCCUUUACUCGGGGAUAGCCUUUCGAAAGAAAGAUUAAUACCCGAUAGCAUAAUGAUUCCGCAUGGUUUCAUUAUUAAAGGAUUCCGGUAAAGGAUGGGGAUGCGUUCCAUUAGGUUGUUGGUGAGGUAACGGCUCACCAAGCCUUCGAUGGAUAGGGGUUCUGAGAGGAAGGUCCCCCACAUUGGAACUGAGACACGGUCCAA